AGCUAACGCAUUAAGUACUCCGCCUGGGAAGUACGGUCGCAAGACUAAAACUCAAAGGAAUUGACGGGGGCCCGCACAAGCGGUGGAUUAUGUGGUUUAAUUCGAAGCAACGCGCAGAACCUUACCUAGGCUUGAACUCCUACGAAUCCGGGGUAAUGCCUGGAGUGUCCGCAAGGAAAUGUAGUGAGAGGUGCUGCAUGGCUGUCGUCAGCUCGUGUUGUGAAAUGUUGGGUUAAGUCUCGCAACGAGCGCAACCCCUAUCGUCUGUUGCCAGCAUUAAGUUGGGCACUCUGACGAGACUGCCUGGGUUAACCAGGAGGAAGGUGGGGAUGACGUCAAGUCCUCAUGGCCCUUAUGUCUAGGGCUACACACGUAAUACAAUGGCGCGUACAGAGGGAAGCGAACUCGCAAGGGGGAGCAAAUCUCAAAAAGCGCGCCUCAGUUCGGAUUGGAGUCUGCAACUCGACUCCAUGAAGUUGGAAUCGCUAGUAAUCGGAGAUCAGCACGCUCCGGUGAAUACGUUCCCGGGCCUUGUACACACCGCCCGUCACACCAUGGGAGUUGUUUUCAUUUUAAGACCUGACUCUAACCGCAAGGGGGAGAGCGUCUACAGUGGGAGCGAUGACUGGGGU
RNAcentral lists this ribosomal RNA (632 nucleotides) under uncultured bacterium. RNAcentral describes it as "bacterial SSU rRNA". It matches the Rfam family "Bacterial small subunit ribosomal RNA", at positions 850 to 1481 of the family's 1533-position model. The record is from RNAcentral.